This 253-nucleotide ribosomal RNA is filed under the name uncultured bacterium. RNAcentral's name for it is "partial 16S ribosomal RNA". It matches the Rfam family "Bacterial small subunit ribosomal RNA", at positions 524 to 776 of the family's 1533-position model. The record is from RNAcentral.
UACGAGAGGCCCAAACGUUAUUCGGAUUUACUGGGCUUAAAGAGUUCGUAGGCGGCGCGGAAAGUAGGGUGUGAAAGCCCUCGGCUCAACCGAGGAAUUGCGCUCUAAACUGUCGCGCUCGAGGAACCUAGAGGUGAGCAGAACUGAUGGUGGAGCGGUGAAAUGCGUUGAUAUCAUCAGGAAUACCGGAGGCGAAGGCGGCUCACUGGGGGUCAUCUGACGCUGAGGAACGAAAGCCAGGGGAGCAAACGGG